This 6354-nucleotide long non-coding RNA is filed under the name Capsicum annuum. RNAcentral describes it as "long non-coding RNA (CANN_LNC020435)". Lineage: Eukaryota; Viridiplantae; Streptophyta; Magnoliopsida; Solanales; Solanaceae. The record is from RNAcentral.
CUGCCCCUAUCCUCCCGCCCUCUCUCGCUCCUUCUUUCUCCAUAGUUCACACUUCUUUCUCCUCCUUAACGGUUUUGGUAAUUCUUUUGUUAGUUUUUCUUGUAUAAAUGUAUAUGUAUUUUAUUGUUUUUCUUCUAUUUCAACCUCAAACAAUGUCAAGAAUUUUAUUAUUUUUUUCUUUUAUUUCAAUCUCAAACAAUGUCCAUGAUGUCAUUGUUUUUUCUUCUAUUUCAAUUUCAAAUUAGUAAAGUUGUGCAACUAGAAAAAGGAUGUUAGGAUUGCUCUUGUGAAUCUGAAGCAGGGCAAGAUGAGUGUGAAGGAGUAUGCCUUAAAGUUCAAUUAGUUGUCUCAUAAUGCCCUGGAGUUGGUGUCUAGCAUGAGGCUAGUCUGAGGAAGUUUGCUUUGAGUUUGUCUCGUGAUUUAGUAUUGGAGUAUAAGGAUGCGAUGUUGAACAAUGAUAUGGAUAUCUCUAGGCUUGUGGUUUAUAUGCAAUAUGCAGCAAGUUGAGGAUGAGAAAAAGAAGCAGGCGGAGAUAGAAGAAAGGCAGAACAAGAAGUUCAGGUAUUAAGAGCAGGGCGAGGGUCAACAAAAUAGUGGGAGAGAUGGUAGGCAAUGGUCCUAGAAUAAGAAUUGGAGGAGUUUGAAUUCAUAUUCGUCGCUCUGACGAUUGUCAUUUUCAGACUAGCGGUGGGUCGAAGACACGAGUUGCCCAGUCUUAAGCUAGUGAAGCUCAGUCAGUCCCACCCUAUCCUUUUUGUCGAUUUUGUGGUCAGUUUUAUUGUGGUUAUUGUGAUGCGAGGAGGAACUUUUAUUUUAAAUAUGGCCAUCCUAGUCAUAUUUACAGGAACUAUCCUUCAGCUAAGGUGGCUAGUGGAGCUAAUAAGGUUCCGAUUGCUACUUCAUUAGCUCCCGCACUAAAGGGCUACUACUUCUGGUACCGACAAUAGCCAAAAUCGUCUCUAUGCUCUUUCCAUCCGUCAGGAAUCUGAGGUAUCUCCUGAUGUUGUCACUGGUAUGUUAUAGCUUUUCUCCCGUGAUGUUUAUUGUUUACUUGAACCGAGAUCUAUUCUUUCUUAUAUGACCCCUUAUGUAGUUGUGCAUUUUGGUUUUGGUCCUUAAACCUUAUUUGAUCCUUUCUCUGUGUCUACCCCGAUGGGUUAUCUAUUGUGCCUAGAAAGGUCUAUAGGGGUUAUGUGGUGUCCAUUUUUCAUAGGGAAACCUUAGUAGAUUUAAUAGAGUUGGACAUGGUGGAUUUUUUCAUUUUGGGGAUGGAUUGGCUUUACUCGUGCUAUGUUUCUCUGGAUUGUAGGACCCAAAAGGUUAGUUUUCAAUUCCCAAAUGAACUGGUAGUUCUAUAGCAGGGGAGUUCCUUAGUACCUAAGAGGAGGUUUAUUUCCUAUCUUGGAGCCCAGAAGUUGAUUUUCAAGGGGUGUAUUUAUCAUUUGGUCCAAGUUAAAGAUUCUAGCUUUAAAGGCCCUUCUUUGCAAUCUGUCCCUAUCGUUAAUGAAUUUUCUAAGUUUUUUCCUGAUGAUCUUCCUGGCAUUCCUCCCGAAAGGAAAAUAGAUUUUAGGAUUGAUCUUCUGUCGAACACUCGCCCUAUUUCUAUUCCUUUGUAUAGAUUGGCUUCAUCUGAGUUAAAGGAGCUUAAGAAGAAAUUAAAGGAUCAUUUUGAUAGGGGAUUUAUUUAUCCUAGUGUUUCUCUGUGGUGAACUAUAGUGCUUCUCGUGCGUAAAAAAGAUGUAUCUUUUUAGAUGUGUAUAGAUUAUCAACAGUUGAAUAAGAUUACCAUGAAGAAUAAGUAUCCUCUUCCUAGGAUUGAUGAUCUUUUCGACCAGCUUCAGGGUGCUAGAUAUUUUUCUAAGAUAAUCUUUGUUUGGGCUAUCAUCAGUUGAAUAUUAGGGAGGAUAAUAUUCUCAAGUCUGAUUUUCGAUCCUAGUAUGGUCAUUAUGACUUCCUGGUUAUGUCAUUUGGGUUAACUAAUGCUCUGACUAUUUUUAUGGAUCUUAUGAACCGAGUAUUUAGACAGUUUCUGGAUCUGUUUGUUAUUGUUUUCAAUUGAUGAUAUUUUGUUGUAUUCUAAGAGUGAGGAGGGUCAUGCCAAUCACCUUCAAAUUGUGUUGCAAAAUCUUAAGGAUCAGAAGUUGUAUGCUAAAUUUUCUAAGUGUGAUUUUGGUUGAAUACUGUGACUUUCCUUGGGCAUGUUAUUUCUAGCAAGGGGAUUAAGGUGGAUCCACAAAAAUUUAAGGCGGUUAAGAGGUGGCCUAGAUCCAUGACUCCAACCAAUAUUCGGAGCUUCUUGGGCUCGGUUGGGUAUUAUAGAUGAUUUGUGGAGAUUUUUUCUUCUAUUGUUGCCCCAUUGAAAAAGUUGACUCAGAAAAAUGAAAAGUUCUUGUGGUUCGAUAUUUGUGAGGGUAGCUUUGAGAAGUUGAAGAAUAGGUUGACUUUUACACCAGUUCUGAUUUGCUCGAGGGUACUGAUAGUUUUAUUGUUUAUUGUUAUGUGUCCCGUGUGGGACUAGGUUGCAUCUUGAUACAGCUUAGGAAGGUUGUGGGCUAUACUUCUAGGAAACUUAAGAUUCAUGAAAGGAAUUAUUUGACUCAUGAUUUAGAGUUAGCGGUUGUGGUUUUUGCUUUGAAGAUUUAACAUUAUUAUUUGUAUGGGGUGCAUAUGGAUAUCUAUUCAGAUCAUAAGAGCUUGCAGUAUGUGUUUACUCAGAAGAAGUUGAAUCUUAGACAUAGGUUGUGUCUUGAGUUGCUAAAGAACUAUGACACGAGUCUUUACUACUAUCCAAGUAAAGCUAAUAUGAUUGCUGAUACUCUUAGAAAAUUAUCUAUGGGGAGCCUAUCUCAUGGGGAUAAGGAAAAAAGAGUAUUGGUAAAGGACAUUCACCGGCAAACUAAUUUGGGAAUUCGUCUUUUGUACUCUGAAGAUAGAGGGGUAAUUGUUCAGGAAGUAUCCAAAUCAUCUCUUGAUGGUGAGUGAAUGAGAAGUAGGCCUUGGAUCCCAUUCUUAUAUAGAUUAAGGAUGAUGUGGGUCAACAAAAGGUUAGGGCCUUUGAGAUUGGUUGAGAUAGAAUUCUGAGGUAUCAAGGUAGGCUGUGCGUUCCUGAUAUUGAAGGACCGGGGGAAAGGAUUUUGACUGAGGCUCAUGAGUCGAGAUAUACUAAAACACCCAAGUUUUUGGACCUUAGAAAAUUUUCUUGAUUUCUGGUCUCUGGACAGGUUACGACUGGGGGAAAUGAUUCAUACACUCGGUUAUGAUUUAUAUGGCCCAGUAAUAUGCUUACCAGUGUUGGUUAGUGGGACGGACUUUGGUUACUUGAAUGGAUACGACUUAGGGGUACAAGUCGUAUUGGUGGGUACAGAUUGUUUGGUUCCUUAACUUAGUUUAAAUUGGGUUACCUAGGUUAUAUUUGAGUAUGAGUGGCUCACCUGGAGCCAUAAGUUAGGGUACGAGUCGUACCAUGGACUCGUAUAGGAAAUAAUGUUCAAACCUUAUAUGAUUCUAUCUUGCCAGGGAUACGGAUGAAGGGUAUAGAUCGUAUGCUAUUAAUAUGACUUGGGAAGGAUGAUUCAUAUAUUGGAUAGUGUUAGGUCCGAAAGUUUAGGUUUAGGAUACGAGUAGUGGGUACCACUCGUAUCGAAGGGUAUGACUCGUGAGGAUCAGUCGUACCCCUGUGAUGGUAUAUUUAAGGAGUUUAAGUGAGGGAAAUCUGGACAUUUCCCAACUUAUCCUAAUCAGGUCCUACGACAUAUAGGGCACAUGGAAGGUUAUUUACCCUAAUAUUUUAUUCCUUAGCCUUUCGAAACUCGUCCUAAACACUCUAUAAUUCUCUCAAAAGUUUUUGGGCAAGAAAGCUACGGUUUCAUCCUUAAGGCCUAUGUAGUGGUUUUGUUGGUGGUUUCUGUAACAUCUCGUAUUUUGCUUGUACUUGUUAAAUUAUAUGGAACUUGGUAUAGCCUUUUGAUAUAUAUAACGUAUGAGAAUUGUUAUGCAAGUAUUAAUGGUAUAGAUGGAAUUAUAGAUGCUACCCGUACAGUUUAAUGUGAUGCGACUAAGUUAACGUUAAGAUAACUAUUUAAACUUGGAAUCGUAAGCUAGUAUUUGAAUCUAAAGUUUCAAGUGACCAAGUGUGUAUAAGUUGAAGGUUAGAUUAAAGGGAUUAGGAGCUGAAAAUAGAGUAAAAUAUUGAGGUGGUUGCUUGACUUAUUUAAGCUAGUAGGUGAGUCACCUACUUAAGUUGUUUGGACCAAAUUAAUGGACCCAUGGCUAUGAAUCAAAUUUGGGUCGAUGCUAAUAUACUCAUUUGGGCCAAAUUGAACAAAAGAGAAAGAAAAUGGAUAAGUGGCCCAACACACCAAUCUGCCAAAGUCCCAAGUUAUUUAAUCCCAAAAUAAGAAUUUAAAUAAGUAGGUGCAUCACCUACUUGGACUAAUUUGACAAAUUUUAUGGUCCAAAAUGCAGCUAAGGAGGUAGACAAGAUAGGGCCUUUAAAGGCCAAGUUGCUGGUCAUUUUACUUCACUUUUAAGUCACAAAAAAGGAGUAUAUUUCAGCAAAUCUCUCUACUCUCUCUAAUACAACUAGAACAACAACCCUAUUUUUCCUUCUAGGGUUCUUGAAGAAACCCUCACCUUUGCAGCCCAAGGUAAGUGAAAAACACUUAAGAUUUUGUUUAAUUAUCUCAUGGAAGAUUAGGAAAACAAGUUAUAAAUGUUUGACUAUAAGUAUAUGGCUAAUUAUAGAACAAGCUGUUUGUUCACGUUUCCUUGUUAUUGAGGAACUUUUUUUCUUCUUCUUUGCUUUAAGUGUGAAGGAAAGUUCAAGCCCUUGAAGAGUUCAAUUAAAAGAAUAAGUUGCUGAAUUGAGGUAAGGUGACUGCUCAUUUUAUUUUUCUUAUAUAUGAAUUUGAGAGAGGAUUAUAGAUGUCUUGUUAUUGAGAACUCAAGAGAUGAUGAGUUCAAUAAUUAAUUGCUACAAUAAAAGGGAUUUAGGACUGGGUUGUGGACUGUUUUUUAUGUAUAUGUUAUGGGCUGCCAGGUUGAAGUUGGAUAAAGGCAUGAUGAGUUUGUAAUGAAUUAUAGAAGAAAGAUGUGGUGAUAUACCACCGAACUAAUGUUUUCUGCCCAAUCUAUUUUGUGUAUUGUUUGGAAUGUGUAAUGAAGUCGAGGUGGUUUUGGUGAACCUUAUAAGAACCUAUAUGGUAUGUGGGUGUAAUUGGAGGAAAAAAGGGUUAAAAUAACACCCUUGUUUGAUAGAUUAAUAGUUGCUGCCCGGUUACUGUUUUGGGUGAAAUUAAGUAUCUCAAAUAUGUUGAUUUGUUAGUAAUAAUAGUUUACCAUAUAUUCUAUUGUAGAUAAGUAAUAUACAAGGCGGGAAGUCAAGUCGGGUUAGUUUCGAAGUCAAAUAACCAGGUAUGUAAGGCAUACUCUAUUUCACACUCUUUGGCAUGAAAUCGUACAAUUGUUCCAUCAAGCAAGUUUCCGAUUUAUCGUAUAACAAAGUGAUACAUAAUGGAAGCACAUUACACUCCAUGUAUCCAAUGACCUUGUUCCCACUCUCUAACGCAUUAGAACACCUCAAUACGUGCUUAUUAUUAAAUCUGCGCGUCUAUCUUCACUAGAAAAUUUCAGGAGUUCUCCGUUUGUCCAAAUAAGACCUAUGUGUUAUUUCAGCUCCUAAACACUUUAUUUGUGUGCCAACAGCUCCCUACCUCAUUUUUGUUGCAUUAAGUAUCUAGUUACAUAUGUCUUAUUAGCAUAUUACUGGUUCAAGGUACCAUAAUGCGAUGACCACCAAAGUAACAAUCUCAAAGGCUAAAUAAACUAAGUAAUGCAAAUCUGUAAAAUGAUGAGUGGCAGCUCAGGGGCAUUUUCCUAGCAUGGGCUGAUCUCGAUACCUUUAUUUGUGGGUGGCAGCUCAGGGGCAUAAGCCUAGCAUGGGCCGAUCCCAAUCUUUAUACGUAGGUGUCAGCUCAGGGGCGUAAGCCUAGCAUAGGCCGAUCCUAAUUUAUCUAUUUACCACUGAUCUGCUGGUCAUUUGCAUUAUAUGGCUUGCAAAGAUUAUGAAGUAAGAAGGUAAAAUGAAGAAAAGAAUGUAAUGUACCUUGUCCCAUAAGUAUUUAUAAAGGUGGUCUACUAGUACUACUUAUACACUUGUAUUAGAUUUCUAUUGAGCUUUUGUAUCAAGUGUGUUGUUACUUUCUGCCUUACAUAUUCAGUACAUAUUUUUAUACUGACGUCCCUCACGAGGGACCUGUAUUUCAUGCUGCAGGCACAAACACUUUAGCUCAUACAACUCACUAGUAGAAGCGCAGGCUUUUUAGGAAGUAUUGGUGAGCUCCAGGUUGAUUCGGG